RNAcentral lists this ribosomal RNA (261 nucleotides) under uncultured prokaryote. Its description in RNAcentral is "partial 16S ribosomal RNA". It matches the Rfam family "Bacterial small subunit ribosomal RNA", at positions 524 to 784 of the family's 1533-position model. The record is from RNAcentral.
UACGUAGGUGGCAAGCGUUGUCCGGAAUUAUUGGGCGUAAAGGGCUCGCAGGCGGUCUUCUAAGUCUGAUGUGAAAUCUUGCGGCUUAACCGUAAGCGGUCAUUGGAAACUGGAGGACUUGAGUACAGAAGAGGAGAGUGGAAUUCCACGUGUAGCGGUGAAAUGCGUAGAGAUGUGGAGGAACACCAGUGGCGAAGGCGACUCUCUGGUCUGUAACUGACGCUGAGGAGCGAAAGCGUGGGGAGCAAACAGGAUUAGAUA